GACGAACGCUGGCGGCGUGCUUAACACAUGCAAGUCGAACGGAAAGGCCCUGCUUUUGUGGGGUGCUCGAGUGGCGAACGGGUGAGUAACACGUGAGUAACCUGCCCUUGACUUUGGGAUAACUUCAGGAAACUGGGGCUAAUACCGGAUAGGAGCUCCUGCUGCAUGGUGGGGGUUGGAAAGUUUCGGCGGUUGGGGAUGGACUCGCGGCUUAUCAGCUUGUUGGUGGGGUAGUGGCUUACCAAGGCUUUGACGGGUAGCCGGCCUGAGAGGGUGACCGGCCACAUUGGGACUGAGAUACGGCCCAGCCUCCUACGGGAGGCAGCAGUGGGGAAUAUUGACCAAUGGGCGGAAGCCUGAUGCAGCAACGCCGCGGGCGGGAUGACGGCCUUCGGGUUGUAAACCGCUUUCGCCUGUGACGAAGCGUGAGUGACGGUAAUGGGUAAAGAAGCACCGGCUAACUACGUG
This 468-nucleotide ribosomal RNA is filed under the name uncultured bacterium. Its description in RNAcentral is "partial 16S ribosomal RNA". It matches the Rfam family "Bacterial small subunit ribosomal RNA", at positions 28 to 507 of the family's 1533-position model. The record is from RNAcentral.